RNAcentral lists this long non-coding RNA (678 nucleotides) under Trifolium pratense (red clover). RNAcentral describes it as "long non-coding RNA (TPRA_LNC002884)". The record is from RNAcentral. Lineage: Eukaryota; Viridiplantae; Streptophyta; Magnoliopsida; Fabales; Fabaceae.
UUGCAUCCCCUUAUAUAUGAAGACCCAAUUUUGUAGCAUUGUGCUCUCAUCAUAUCAUAGUGAUACACCGCGGAGCAAAACAAAUACGUUUCCCAUCUCAAAUUUCAAUACCCUUUAGCCUCUUAAUUCAUUGUAACCUUAUUCUUCCUCCACUCCCUUUAACUAAUGGGACCUGGCGGACCAGGAGGGCCUGGAGGACCAGGAGGGUUUGGCGGACCUGGACCUGGUUUUGGUGGGCCUCCAGGUUUCGGUGGACCUGGUUGGGGUCCACCAGGACCGGGGGGCUUUUUUGGCGGAUUUGGUAAUGGCUUAUGCAGCCUCAUAUCUUCAUGGUAAGUUAUCAAAACCAACUUCAUUUUCUUUUUGGUUGUCAAGAAAAAAAAAACUUCAUAUUCUUUUUGAAAAAAGAAAGUUCUUUGAAGUAUUAUGUUGUUGUUCUUAAUUAUUGCAGCUUCUACUGCUUAUGCUGUUGCUGGUUGGUACGAGAUUGCUUCGGAGGUCCACCACCACCAGGUCCAGGCCCUUUUUAAACCAGUAAAGCUUAAGGUUCACUACAUGCUGCCUAAUUACUAGCCAUGUCCAUUGUUCUAUUUGGCUCUUGUGUGAUGAGUAUGACCAAAAAUAAAAUAAAUUUGUGGUUGUGUAAUCUCUCUUUCACUUUGUAACCAGAAAAAUUUG